This 73-nucleotide transfer RNA is filed under the name Solanum lycopersicum (tomato). It matches the Rfam family "tRNA". From Rfam's summary of the family: Transfer RNA (tRNA) molecules are approximately 80 nucleotides in length. Their secondary structure includes four short double-helical elements and three loops (D, anti-codon, and T loops). Further hydrogen bonds mediate the characteristic L-shaped molecular structure. tRNAs have two regions of fundamental functional importance: the anti-codon, which is responsible for specific mRNA codon recognition, and the 3' end, to which the tRNAs corresponding amino acid is attached (by aminoacyl-tRNA synthetases). tRNAs cope with the degeneracy of the genetic code in two manners: having more than one tRNA (with a specific anti-codon) for a particular amino acid; and 'wobble' base-pairing, i.e. permitting non-standard base-pairing at the 3rd anti-codon position. The record is from Rfam by way of RNAcentral. Lineage: Eukaryota; Viridiplantae; Streptophyta; Magnoliopsida; Solanales; Solanaceae.
AGGGAUGUGGCGCAACUUGAUAGCGCAUUUGUUUGAGUACAAAAUGUCACGGGUUCAAAUCCUGUCAUCCCUA